GCGAGGGUGGUGAAAUUGGUAGACACGCCAGACUUAGGAUCUGGAGCCGGUGGCGUAGGGGUUCGAGUCCCCUCCCUCGCA
Molecule: transfer RNA, 81 nt
Filed under: Treponema sp.
Lineage: Bacteria; Pseudomonadati; Spirochaetota; Spirochaetia; Treponematales; Treponemataceae
Description: tRNA-Leu
Rfam family: tRNA
About the family: Transfer RNA (tRNA) molecules are approximately 80 nucleotides in length. Their secondary structure includes four short double-helical elements and three loops (D, anti-codon, and T loops).
Source: RNAcentral